RNAcentral lists this ribosomal RNA (253 nucleotides) under uncultured bacterium. RNAcentral describes it as "partial 16S ribosomal RNA". It matches the Rfam family "Bacterial small subunit ribosomal RNA", at positions 524 to 776 of the family's 1533-position model. The record is from RNAcentral.
UACAGAGGGGGCGAGCGUUGUCCGGAAUUAUUGGGCGUAAAGAGCUCGUAGGCGGUCUGUCGCGUCGGAUGUGAAAACUCGGGGCUCAACCCCGAGCCUGCAUUCGAUACGGGCAGACUAGAGUUCGGUAGGGGAGACUGGAAUUCCUGGUGUAGCGGUGAAAUGCGCAGAUAUCAGGAGGAACACCGGUGGCGAAGGCGGGUCUCUGGGCCGAUACUGACGCUGAGGAGCGAAAGCGUGGGGAGCGAACAGG